This 497-nucleotide ribosomal RNA is filed under the name uncultured bacterium. RNAcentral's name for it is "partial 16S ribosomal RNA". It matches the Rfam family "Bacterial small subunit ribosomal RNA", at positions 28 to 507 of the family's 1533-position model. The record is from RNAcentral.
GAUGAACGCUGGCGGCGUGCCUAAUACAUGCAAGUCGAGCGAACAGAUGAGGAGCUUGCUCCUCUGACGUUAGCGGCGGACGGGUGAGUAACACGUGGAUAACCUACCUAUAAGACUGGGAUAACUUCGGGAAACCGGAGCUAAUACCGGAUAAUAUAUUGAACCGCAUGGUUCAAUAGUGAAAGACGGUUUUGCUGUCACUUAUAGAUGGAUCCGCGCCGCAUUAGCUAGUUGGUAAGGUAACGGCUUACCAAGGCAACGAUGCGUAGCCGACCUGAGAGGGUGUUCGGCCACACUGGAACUGAGACACGGUCCAGACUCCUACGGGAGGCAGCAGUAGGGAAUCUUCCGCAAUGGGCGAAAGCCUGACGGAGAAACGCCGCGUGAGUGAUGAAGGUCUUCGGAUCGUAAAACUCUGUUAUUAGGGAAGAACAAAUGUGUAAGUAACUAUGCACGUCUUGACGGUACCUAAUCAGAAAGCCACGGCUAACUACGUG